Molecule: long non-coding RNA, 258 nt
Filed under: Gossypium barbadense (sea-island cotton)
Lineage: Eukaryota; Viridiplantae; Streptophyta; Magnoliopsida; Malvales; Malvaceae
Description: long non-coding RNA (GBAR_LNC000889)
Source: RNAcentral
AAAACACUAAAGUGCUAUACAGAAAGCACAAAUGUGCUAAAUGGAGAGCACUAAUGUGCUAAUAAUUGGAGAGCGCACUAAGGUCCCUUAAUGGCAUGCCACUGAUAUCCUAGUAGUUCUAAUUUUGUCUACUUGGACGUAAAAUUUGAAUUUCAUGCAUUUAAAUACUUUACAUAAGUAUUUUAGAAAAGAUUUCACAUUUCUUCAUCAUCUACAAUUUAGUCCCAAUUUCACAAAUCACAAAUGUCACAUCUUUUU